This 253-nucleotide ribosomal RNA is filed under the name uncultured bacterium. RNAcentral's name for it is "partial 16S ribosomal RNA". It matches the Rfam family "Bacterial small subunit ribosomal RNA", at positions 524 to 776 of the family's 1533-position model. The record is from RNAcentral.
UACGAAGGGUGCAAGCGUUACUCGGAAUUACUGGGCGUAAAGCGUGCGUAGGUGGUUCGUUAAGUCUGAUGUGAAAGCCCCGGGCUCAACCUGGGAAUGGCAUUUGGGACUGCAAGGCUGGAGUUUGGCAGAGGAGACUGGAAUUCCUGGUGUAGCAGUGAAAUGCGUAGAUAUCAGGAGGAAUACCGAUGGCGAAGGCAGGUCUCUGGGCUAUAACUGACGCUCAUGCACGAAAGCGUGGGGAGCAAACAGG